UCCCGGAGCUCCUGCGCGGCUGCCAGGUAUGUCCUGGCCACCCCAAAUCCCCCCCUUCCAGCCUGAGGACAUCAUCCAUCGGCAGCACUAAAGCCAAGGGGAUUUCUCUCACAGAGAUGAAAUCCCCAGCAAUUCUCUCAGAGAUGCCUUAAAAUGAAAGGUUAGACAAAUGUGUUUGGAUGAAGUUUGGAGUUUUUCAGGGAGCCAGCUGGAAGCUGAUGAAGAAGUGAUGGAAAGCUUUUGCAGGUGGCCUGGUGAUGCCAGGGGGGUUUCUCCUGCUCCUCUCCAGCCUGAGGCCUCUUCUCUCUUCCCCACCAGCUGCUGCCAAGGAAGGAGGACACAUUAUUCCAGGUUUUCCCAGUUAGGAGCUGCAAGGAAUUGAGGCAAAAGACAGUGGGGAACAGCUGUAAAUUCAAAGGAAGAAAGAGAAGAUCUACCAGCAAAGGGGAAAGGCUUCAGAAAACAUUUCUGCAAUUAGUAAUUAUUUCCAAUUCCCCAGUGAGAAGAGAUCUUUGGGGAAUCCCUGGUUGUUGUCCAGAAUCUAUAUAAA
This is a long non-coding RNA of Hirundo rustica (Barn swallow), 550 nucleotides long. RefSeq lists it as uncharacterized. The record is from RefSeq and is a predicted model, not a curated record. The transcript has 3 exons. NCBI's taxonomy places the organism in Eukaryota, Metazoa, Chordata, Aves, Passeriformes, Hirundinidae.